This 477-nucleotide ribosomal RNA is filed under the name uncultured bacterium. RNAcentral describes it as "bacterial SSU rRNA". It matches the Rfam family "Bacterial small subunit ribosomal RNA", at positions 28 to 509 of the family's 1533-position model. The record is from RNAcentral.
GACGAACGCUGGCGGCGUGCUUAACACAUGCAAGUCGAGCGGGAACCUCGGCAGGGGUAACCCUUCCGAGGGGAGAGCGGCGAACGGGUGAGUAACACGUGGGCAACCUGCCCCGGACACCGGGAUAACCCAGGGAAACCUGAGCUAAUACCGGAUACUCCGGCACGAUCGCAUGGUCGUGCCGGGAAAGCUCCGACGGUCCGGGAUGGGCCCGCGGCCUAUCAGCUUGUUGGUGAGGUAACGGCCCACCAAGGCGACGACGGGUAGCUGGUCUGAGAGGACGGCCAGCCACACUGGGACUGAGACACGGCCCAGACUCCUACGGGAGGCAGCAGUGGGGAAUCUUGCGCUAAUGCGCGAAAGCGUGACGCAGCGACGCCGCGUGGGGAUGAAGGCCCUCGGGUUGUAAACCCCUUUCGCCAGGGAAGAAGGGAAACUGACGGUACCUGGAGAAGAAGUCCCGGCUAACUACGUGCC